This 470-nucleotide ribosomal RNA is filed under the name uncultured bacterium. RNAcentral's name for it is "partial 16S ribosomal RNA". It matches the Rfam family "Bacterial small subunit ribosomal RNA", at positions 28 to 507 of the family's 1533-position model. The record is from RNAcentral.
GACGAACGCUGGCGGCGUGCUUAACACAUGCAAGUCGAACGGUGAACGAGGGAGCUUGCUCCCUCCGGAUCAGUGGCGAACGGGUGAGUAACACGUGAGCAAUCUGCCCCGAACUCUGGGAUAAGCGUUGGAAACGACGUCUAAUACCGGAUACGACGCGGGAGGGCAUCCUCUCCGCGUGGAAAGAACUUCGGUUCGGGAUGAGCUCGCGGCCUAUCCGCUUGUUGGUGAGGUAACGGCUCACCAAGGCGACGACGGGUAGCCGGCCUGAGAGGGUGACCGGCCACACUGGGACUGAGACACGGCCCAGACUCCUACGGGAGGCAGCAGUGGGGAAUAUUGCACAAUGGGCGCAAGCCUGAUGCAGCAACGCCGCGUGAGGGACGACGGCCUUCGGGUUGUAAACCUCUUUUAGCAGGGAAGAAGCGAAAGUGACGGUACCUGAAGAAAAAGCACCGGCUAACUACGUG